RNA transcript from Macadamia integrifolia, 4947 nucleotides. It is a transcript of the gene named telomerase reverse transcriptase, with no coding region annotated. NCBI's taxonomy places the organism in Eukaryota, Viridiplantae, Streptophyta, Magnoliopsida, Proteales, Proteaceae. The transcript is spliced from 13 exons. The record is from RefSeq and is a predicted model, not a curated record.
AAUCUGCUCUAUUAUGUGAUUUUUUCUCGUCCCCUUUUAAUUUGCCCUCCAGCAAAUCGCCUCCCCGCAGUUGCAAUGAAGAAAAGAAGAGUCCCCGAGGUCCUAUGGAGGUCGUAUCGAAACCAUGCUCGCACUUUAGCCGACACAAUCCUAUCUUUGCUGCCUCGACCCCCACCUCCGGCCGCCAACUGCUGGUGCAAGGGCUGUGGCUGCCUCGGUUGUGCCGGCGAUGGUGCCAUGUCCUUCCUUCUUAGACCUGACGACCCACCAGACUACCACAAGCUCUUGAAUAGAUGCUUCGUCGUCAUGCCAGACGAUCAGCCGCAGCGUCGCACAGCUUUCUAUCCUGAAUGCCGAUGGUCCCAACAAACGAUGGUCAGAAGAACUAUUGAGAUGAUAAUGUGUGAGUCACACCGAUCUUCAAAUGUGAUAUGCAAUGGGUAUGAUAAGUGCAAUCAUACAAGCUUUGUUCUGGAUCAUCUUACCACUUCAUCAUGGUGUCUUCUUAAAAAAAGGAUUGGGGAUGAUACUAUGUUUCACCUGUUGAAGUAUGCAUCUAUAUUCUUGCCGCAUUCUCGUUCAAAUUACCACCAGGUGGCAGGUUCUCCUAUCAUUGAUUUAGUGAUGAAGAUCCGAAAGCAUAAAUCAGGCUCCCGUAAGAAGAGGAAGAGAGUCAGUGAUGAGGACAAAUAUACAUCUGAUGACAUUAAGUGUUCGGAGCGAUUCAUUGACUCAAAUGUGGAACAUCAAGUAUGUGACAAGUAUACUACAACAAAGACUGGAAAGCGUUUAAGGUCGUCUGGUUCGGAACAUUGUACUCAGAAGUUUAACGGAGUUAAAGAUGAAGACAUAUAUAAAUCUGAUACCAUUAAUUCUUUGCAGCAAUCCAAUAGAUCUCUGACUGUUACGUGCUGCUUUGGUUCUGGUGCCUGUUCUCUUAGUUGUAAUCGUAGGAGCUGUUUCAAAUCAUUUGGAUGGGGGUGUUGUAGAAAGCAGAGCCCCUUGCGUUACCCCGAAGCUCACAUGCUGAACUGUAUAGCUUUGGAAAAUGAUCUUGUGAAAUCAAAUGAGGAACUUAAAGUAGCAAAGAACACUACAACAACUAUGCGGAAGCGUUCAAGGCCUUUUAGUUGGCAACGUCUUAGAAAGCGCAAGCAAUUUACUUCUCUAGAGGACAAAAUGCUGCCUUCUGUAGCCCCCAUUCAUUAUGAGAGAGAUCAGCUGUCUGGAAUUCUUCAACAGAGCUCUGACACCAGUUUAAGUCAUCAAACUGCAAAGGUGGUUUCGCCCCCAGAGCUCGAUGCUCGUCAGAUUACGUCACAGUGCUUUAGUUGUUUGAUGUUGCAAGCACCAAGGAAAGACCCAAAGGGUGCUAAAAUCAACAAGCAACUAAUGUUUUAUAAGUCGGGGUGCUCAUUAUCAUUUCUUCCAAGAAAUCAUAUAUUAAAUAAACUGAAGCCUAAUGAUUCUGGUGCGGUUGUCCUUAUGAUGGAUAUCUUUGGCUUAUCUAAGGGAAGCUUAAGUUCUCAAUCUUUGUCAUGCUUCCAAGGCAGUGGUCGCUGUCUUACUGGUUCUGCAUGCUUGUAUCACUCACUUCUUGGCUUGCUUAAAAGUCUUAUUUGCAAUGCCCGCUCCUGCAAUUACUUGAAGUUCUUGGAUAAGCACUGUCCAAUUCCAUGUUUAGAUCAAAGUACAAAUGGAAAUGUUGGAACAUUUGAGGAUAGCAAGUCGCAAACAAAUUUACUUGAUAAAAGGCACAUGGGGUUUCAGCCAAAAAGCAGUCUUUUGGAGGGUCUUGAAUGCCAUGUCAAUAGACAGCAAGAGAAGUAUCUUAAUGGAACUCCAGAUGUCUUUGAUUAUCAAGUUGAGAUAAAUGGACAAUACUGUCAGAAAGAUCAAGUUGUCUCUUUUUUGUGGUCAACUUGUAGGAAUAUAGUUCCUCCAGAUUUGCUUGGAGCUCCUUCUAUUUGGAGAGCGCUAAGGAGAAACAUUUCAAAGUUUGUUUGCUUACGAAGGUUUGAAAGUUUUUUUUUGAGGCAAUGUAUGCAUGGAUUGAAGACGGCAAGUUUCCCAUUUCUAUCGAAGAAGAUGUUUUUGUGCUUCUUUAGUAAUGGUAUUGGAAAAGAUGGGUUAGGAAGGCGUGGAAACAUUUGUAAGGGAGGCAACAGAUUAAGUGAUGUGAAAGGUAUUCUUAAAAAUAAGCUUUUGGGAAGCUGGAUAUAUUGGUUCUUUAAUUGUCUAGUUGUGCCCAUAAUAUAUGCCAACUUCUAUGUUACUGAAAGUGAGCAGGGGAAACAAGAAAUUUUUUAUUAUCGGAAGCCAAUUUGGGAGAAAGUGACUCAUACAGCCAUUGAUUUAUUUGAAAAACGAAGCUACCAUUUGUUGGACAAUGCAUCUUUAAGAAAUAUACUUAGUAAAAGAGCAUUUGGUUUUUCAAAAGUUAGAUUUUGUCCAAAAGAACAUGGAGUUAGGGUCCUAGCAAAUCUAAAGGCACCAUCAAAGGUACAUCUACAAGGUUCUUUGCAGAAUAAAUAUCAUGAAAUGCAGAAAAAAGUGGAUAUUCAUUCAAAGCUGGAGAAGUUUGUUUGUUUCAAGUCUGUGAAUUAUGCCCUUCGUGAUUUACAUGUCGUUCUAAAAGGAAUAAAAAUGAAAUGUCCAGAGAAGUUGGGUUCGUCGGUAUUUGACUAUAGUGGAGUCUACAGAAAGCUUUGUCCGUUUCUUAUUGAUUUGAAAAAUGGAUCAGGUAGCUUGCCCAGACUAUUUGUUGUCAUUUGUGACGUUUCUAAGGCAUUUGAUUCUGUUGAUCAAGAUAAAUUACUCACCGUAAUGAAGGACGUCAUUUUUAGUGAUGAAUAUAUUGUAGAUCAGUAUGCUCAGGUUUUCUGUGGAAAGAAGUCUUUACAGUUCCGUUGUAACCAAAUUUUGUCAGAUAAAAAUAUCAGCAGUUCUGUUUCGAAUUUUACUACUCCCUCUUUCUUUUCAAAUCCAUUGCAGAGUGUCCUUAUUAAUCAGGUCAGUAGCAGAAAUAUAAGAAAGGAGGAGCUUUGUCAUAAUCUUGAAGAGCAUGUGAAGAGCAAUGUGCUGCAAAUUGGUCAGAAAUUCUACUUGCAAGAAAUUGGUAUACCUCAGGGAAGCAUUUUGUCUUCUCUUCUUUGCUCGUAUUAUUACGGCCAUAUGGAGAGGAAUGUUUUAUUUCCAUUUCUCAAUAAAAUUCGCGACCCUUGUAUUUUGUAUGCCAAUGACAAUCUGCCAGUAGAGUACAAUGCUGAGAAUGGGAGUAGUAGUGUUCAAGGUGGCAUCAUUUCACAAUACCCCAAGCAUUUGCUUCUCAGGUUUAUUGAUGACUUCUUUUUCAUAUCAACCUCAAAGAAGAAAGCGACUGGCUUCUUUUCCAGGUUGAAACGAGGAUUUUGUGAGUACAACUGCUCCAUGAAUGAAAAGAAAUUCUGUAUGAAUUUUGAUGCUGAUCAUAUUUCAAGGUUUUCAUCAAAAAAGGUGUAUAUCGGUGAAGAUGGUAUAUCAUUUCUUCCUUGGAGUGGUUUGCUUAUUAACUGUCGCACAUUGGAAAUCCAGGCAGACUACACAAGGUAUUUGAAUAUCCAUUUGGGCUCAACUCUUACUGUCUACUGGCAAGUUAAACCAGGCCGGCAUUUGAAGGCAAAGCUCUGUGCUUAUAUGCGACCUAAAUGUCAUCCCAUCUUCUAUGACUCAAAUAUUAAUUCUGCAGCUGUUGUCAGAUUGAAUGUUUAUCAAGCUUUUUUACUCUGUGCAAUGAAGUUCCAUUGUUAUGUCUAUGAUUUGUCAAGUAUUUGCAAUCUCCAAGCAGUAUACUACUCGGAAAUUAUUCAAAAGACUUUCAGGUAUGUGCACAAGCUCAUAUGGAGAACCAUGCACUCUAUUAGUCUAGGAUCAAAUUUCCAUCCUAUUCUUCAUUUGGAGAAAGAAGAAGUUGAAUGGCUUGGUUUACAUGCUUAUAUUCGAGUGCUAAACAGAAAACAGUCGAGGCACAGAGAGUUGCUGUCAUUGUUGAGGUCUAAGUUGAUGAUGAAUGUCAUAAUGGAUAGGACAUCAGCUCAACUGAUAUAUGCAAUAGAUGAUUCACAUUCCUCUGUAUUUUGGAAAAUCAAGUAUUAGACCUUCGCUGGCUGUAGUAUAUAUUUUGCAUAGGAACAGUUAUUACAUACGUUGAGAUAUUGGAUGGCUGGCUCUGGAUUCAUACUUGUAAGUUGCAACUCCUUGGCAAAGUUGACUGUGAAUAGAAAAAAUUAUGGCCGUUGACUUGGAUGGAUCUGUAGAGGUUGUUACUAUCUCUCAAAGUCAUUGCGGUCCAAACCUUUACUCUGAGGCAGCCUACCCAAUGUCUAGAUGAAUAUCAGGGUGAACGAAGUCUUUCCCCUUAAAAGUUGGUAUCGGAGCUGAACUCUCUAGCACCAGGGCUGGAUUUUUUUGACGUAUCUCAGGCUUGGAAGCGUAGGGUUAUUUCAGAUAUUUUGUGACCUAUUGGAUUUUGAGAAGGUGACAGAAUGUGGCUUCUGCUCAUAUGGGAUGGAAACUCCUAACUCUUUAAUUUGAACAUUCUCGUUCCUCUGUUAUUUCUCUUUUAAAACUAAGACUCGUUUAAGAAGGCAAUAUAUUCCCUUUCUGAUUGAUCAGAGUGGAAUUAAGAUAUGUGAUACUCCAUCUAAAGCUAGGGUCUUUACUUCUCAUUUAGUGAGAUUUUCACAUCUAACCCUCUUGAUCUUAGUUUUGUGGAGACAUUGUUCGGUCCAGUGAUUUCUUAUGAGGAGAAUGCUACUUUAACCUCUUUAUACCCUGAAGAGGAAAUAAAGAGUGCGGUCCUUGCUAUUGGGGCCUAAGUCUCCUUGGUUAUGAUGGUGUCCUUGCAGUUUUUUACCGGAAGUGUUGGGAGUCUUAUACAGGAUGUUGUCGGGUUUGUAUGGGAUUUUU